This 71-nucleotide transfer RNA is filed under the name Zingiber officinale. It matches the Rfam family "tRNA". Rfam says of the family: Transfer RNA (tRNA) molecules are approximately 80 nucleotides in length. Their secondary structure includes four short double-helical elements and three loops (D, anti-codon, and T loops). Lineage: Eukaryota; Viridiplantae; Streptophyta; Magnoliopsida; Zingiberales; Zingiberaceae. The record is from Rfam by way of RNAcentral.
GUCUGAGUGGCAUAGCAGAAGUGUGAUGGACCCAUAAUCCACAGGUCCAUGUUCGAACCCUGGCUCCGAUA